Molecule: ribosomal RNA, 1343 nt
Filed under: uncultured bacterium
Lineage: Bacteria
Description: 16S ribosomal RNA
Rfam family: Bacterial small subunit ribosomal RNA
Source: RNAcentral
GACGAACGCUGGCGGCGUGCUUAACACAUGCAAGUCGAACGGAAAGGCCCUGCUUUUGUGGGGUGCUCGAGUGGCGAACGGGUGAGUAACACGUGAGUAACCUGCCCUUGACUUUGGGAUAACUUCAGGAAACUGGGGCUAAUACCGGAUAGGAGCUCCUGCUGCAUGGUGGGGGUUGGAAAGUUUCGGCGGUUGGGGAUGGACUCGCGGCUUAUCAGCUUGUUGGUGGGGUAGUGGCUUACCAAGGCUUUGACGGGUAGCCGGCCUGAGAGGGUGACCGGCCACAUUGGGACUGAGAUACGGCCCAGACUCCUACGGGAGGCAGCAGUGGGGAAUAUUGCACAAUGGGCGGAAGCCUGAUGCAGCAACGCCGCGUGCGGGAUGACGGCCUUCGGGUUGUAAACCGCUUUCGCCUGUGACGAAGCGUGAGUGACGGUAAUGGGUAAAGAAGCACCGGCUAACUACGUGCCAGCAGCCGCGGUGAUACGUAGGGUGCGAGCGUUGUCCGGGUUUAUUGGGCGUAAAGGGCUCGUAGGUGGUUGAUCGCGUCGGAAGUGUAAUCUUGGGGCUUAACCCUGAGCGUGCUUUCGAUACGGGUUGACUUGAGGAAGGUAGGGGAGAAUGGAAUUCCUGGUGGAGCGGUGGAAUGCGCAGAUAUCAGGAGGAACACCAGUGGCGAAGGCGGUUCUCUGGGCCUUUCCUGACGCUGAGGAGCGAAAGCGUGGGGAGCGAACAGGCUUAGAUACCCUGGUAGUCCACGCUGUAAACGGUGGGUACUAGGUGUGGGGUCCAUUCCACGGGUUCCGUGCCGUAGCUAACGCUUUAAGUACCCCGCCUGGGGAGUACGGCCGCAAGGCUAAAACUCAAAGGAAUUGACGGGGCCCCGCACAAGCGGCGGAGCAUGCGGAUUAAUUCGAUGCAACGCGUAGAACCUUACCUGGGUUUGACAUGGAUCGGGAGCGCUCAGAGAUGGGUGUGCCUCUUUUGGGGUCGGUUCACAGGUGGUGCAUGGCUGUCGUCAGCUCGUGUCGUGAGAUGUUGGGUUAAGUCCCGCAACGAGCGCAACCCUUGUUCACUGUUGCCGGCACGUUAUGGUGGGGACUCAGUGGAGACCGCCGGGGUCAACUCGGAGGAAGGUGGGGAUGACGUCAAGUCAUCAUGCCCCUUAUGUCCAGGGCUUCACGCAUGCUACAAUGGCUGGUACAGAGAGUGGCGAGCCUGUGAGGGUGAGCGAAUCUCGGAAAGCCGGUCUCAGUUCGGAUUGGGGUCUGCAACUCGACCUCAUGAAGUCGGAGUCGCUAGUAAUCGCAGAUCAGCAACGCUGCGGUGAAUACGUUCCCGGG